UGCCCAGCAACUCCUACCCCUACCUCCUCGUGGUACCGGCCGGAAACUAUGAGCAACCGGGUAACCAAUCCCGGUGGGAACUUUGGUUGUAGGGUGACAGGGAAGG
Molecule: non-coding RNA, 106 nt
Organism: Aedes albopictus (Asian tiger mosquito)
Lineage: Eukaryota; Metazoa; Arthropoda; Insecta; Diptera; Culicidae
Source: Rfam